This 259-nucleotide ribosomal RNA is filed under the name uncultured prokaryote. RNAcentral's name for it is "partial 16S ribosomal RNA". It matches the Rfam family "Bacterial small subunit ribosomal RNA", at positions 524 to 782 of the family's 1533-position model. The record is from RNAcentral.
UACGUAGGUGCGAGCGUUGUCCGGAAUUACUGGGCGUAAAGAGCUCGUAGGUUGUUUGUCACGUCGUCUGUGAAAUUCCGGGGCUUAACCUCGGGCGUGCAGGCGAUACGGGCAAUACUUGAGUGCUGUAGGGGAGACUGGAAUUCCUGGUGUAGCGGUGAAAUGCGCAGAUAUCAGGAGGAACACCAAUGGCGAAGGCAGGUCUCUGGGCAGUUACUGACGCUGAGGAGCGAAAGCAUGGGUAGCGAACAGGAUUAGA